Long non-coding RNA from Mangifera indica (mango), 401 nucleotides. RefSeq lists it as uncharacterized. The record is from RefSeq and is a predicted model, not a curated record. The transcript has 3 exons. NCBI's taxonomy places the organism in Eukaryota, Viridiplantae, Streptophyta, Magnoliopsida, Sapindales, Anacardiaceae.
AUGUAUUCUCAUUAUUACAUUACUUGUUAGCUCAAAUGACUUGAUGAUAAAAUAUAGAAGAAAUAGUCAUGAACAAGAAAGAAUAAAAGGUGGAUGUUUGCAUCAACAGAGAAGAUGGUGUUCCUAGCUUAAAUUAGAUGAAACUCACUUUGUUUCAGAAGAGGAUUUAUCCACAGUCUCUAUUUCUACUACUGGAUCAAGAAUCUGUCUGCUGGAGAGAAUAUUUAGGUAAGAUGCAUAUAUAUCAAGGCUGCCUGUUUCUAUCAUACGGGCCCUGGUAUCAACAAUUGGAUGACAUGAUUCAGAAAGCGCUGGAGAAAUUCCCUAAGCCUGAUGAGGUAAUGAAAUUCUUUAGUGCCCAUGAAGCACCAGUCAGCUAUGGGCUUUUAGUACUGUUAUUC